GACUUUGAGCAGCAGCAAGGGCGACAGUCACUGUUCGUGGGGGAAGGUGGGCCAGAGAAAGCAUGCAUCACCCAGAGGGCCCCUGUGAGCCCAGCCCCUGUGCCCUGGCUGGACCCUUCUUCGGCUGGUGGGGGAGGCGCUCUGCACCGCUCAGGUGAGAGAAGCGCCCUGGCCAGACUGACUCGGAACCUGAAAUGCUGUCCUCCUCCUCUGGCUCGCCCAGUGACCCUGGCCUCCUCCCCAAGUCCGUGGGAAUCAGAAGAGGCCAGCAGACUAGACCACCUCCUUCCAGGACAUCUAGCCUGUCUGUCCCUGCCCAGCCCUUUCUUCUGUCUCCUGAGGAAAGGAGACUGCUGUGCCAUGCCUGGAAGUGAUGCCCCAGGACGUGUGCAAUUCUAGUACAACACACACACACACACACACACACACACACACACACACACACACACACUUUGCUGAAGCCGCUCUGAGGAUUUUAACUUUUUUUGGAAAUUGGGAGGAGCUGAGCUGGGAAGAAAGGAUCCGAAUGCCAGGGGUCUAUUUUGGGCACCAGGAAAUCAGUCUCUAGGGAUCUCCGAGCGCUGACAAAACUGUAGUCACCAGGCUCGGGCAGCUUUGGCCCCAACGCCACGGCGGCCCCGGACCCCCCUCUGCAGGUGAGAAGAGAAUGGUGUGGGACGAUGCUGAGGACACAGCACGAAGAUGAGCGGCAGGGACGGUCUGCAGAGUACGAUCUUUCUCCUAUCAUGUCUCAAGUCCUUUUUAAGAACCAACUCUACGGUGGUCAGCCUGGGACGAUGUGGUAAGGAUGGAGACGACAGGUAGGCAUAGGGCUGCACGGCCGCAGUCCACCCACAGGACCAAGACUAACAUGGGCCUGGCGCUGGGCACAUGGGCACGGGAGCUGAAGGUCGGGAAGGCCCAGGACAGGUGGCCAUCUGCAAGAGUCAAAUGCAUUCAUUUUCCAGUUGGCUCAUGGUGGCCUAGGGGAGGCUGCAGUACCCAUGGUGUGGGCACCAGAAGAUGAGAGCAGCCUCAGGAGGGUGUAGUGGCCUAGGAAUGUGGUGGAUGCUAAGCGUUUUUGGUACCCAUCGCUGCCACAGAGGAGGACUUACUGGUAGAGAAGCUCCCAGAACAGGGUCUGCCCUGCUCGAUGACCGGGAUCUUGGUGGAGGUACUGCAGGUGACUCAGGCACCUACCUGACAUUGGCUCAAGUGCCAGGGCAAGCACAGCAAAGGAACCCUCAGGAAAAGUCUGCCGGCACGGCCUGAGGCCUCCCGCAGGGAGGGGUGGCAGUACUGCUCUCUGACAGGUAAGAGUGGGACUGGAGCCACAAAGAGUAGCUGGAGGCCCUGGACGGCCAGGACCAGGGCCAGACACGGUGUCCUUACAGGAUGUCACCAUCCGUGCUUCUGAAGGAGGAAUUCUUACAGAGCGGGGAUCAAGUCAGAGUCAAAGUCAGGACAGGGCUACUUGCUCCUCUCUCCAAUGUGUCCAACAGACUAAGCAGCAGUGGGUACCCUCGCCGGGCCAGAACCUAGUGGCAGAAGAAGUUGGCAUGUAUUAACCAGAGCAAACAACCACCUGGAAUUCAGGGCAAACUCCCUAAUUCUACAAAGGUAAAAACCUCUGGACGCCAUUCUAUGAGGAUAUAAACUCUUCACUAAUGAAGGUAGUUUAUAUAGUUCGUCGGUGUCUCUUAUUUAUUAUUUUUGGUAGUGGUACUGAGGACUGGGCCAAGGUAUUCCCACUGGGCUAUAUCCCCAGCCCUUGGUUGUUUUUAUUUUGAGGUAAGGGCUGACUAAGUCACUAAGUCACCCAAGCAGGGUCCCAACUUGCAGUCCUCUUGCCUCAGAGCACUGGGAUUAAGGGCGAGCUAGCAAGCCUGGCCUGGUCCUUCACGUACUGCUGCCGCCUUUCCCUUUACAUACCUCGUCCUUCUUCCUACUGUGUUAAUAAUCACUAUCUUCAUCUCUUCCAAAAUGAUGUUUUAUUCCUAUGAUGGAAUUAUAUGUAUGUUUCCAUAUACAAGCAUUUAAUAACAUGCUUUUAGUCUACAGAUGAGAAAAUCGUUACCUGGUAGCUGCUCCUUGAGCGUCGUAAGGUGGCAUGGUGUGAAUUCAGCUGACUCCCCUCCACAUUUGCAAUCGGAACCAUCUCAGAGCUUAUCUUUCUUCUUCUCCUUCUUUUCUUGCAAACCUAUGCCCUUGUGUAUGCUAGGGGAGCUCCCUACCACUGAGCUGCACCCCCAGCUCAUCUUUCUUUGGAACAGAUACAAUAACCUGCAUGUUUGAACCUGUUUUCAACGACUGCCAUUUCUAGGAAAGGUAUCCCGCCCCAUUGGGGCUUAGCAGCUAGAAGCCACCAAUGCUGCAUUCAAACUGCCAGGUCAUGGCAUAAGGCACUCAGAAAUAUUAUCAAGCUCCUCUUUCUUAAUUUUUGCCCCAACGCCAGGCUUGAAACUGUCACAGUUAGGGAUUAACUUGCCAUUUUCAUAGGACCUCUCCUUUCAUUGCUAAUCCAGAUCUGCCCCCACUAUCUCCCUUGGUCCUCACCUGCACCUGAAGGUUGUGUCCGGACGUGCUGUUGACAUCUCUGCCUACUCGUCUCCUCGGGUGGUGGUUUGAGUGUUCCACAACAAAAGCAGCAGCAGCAGCAACAGCAGCAGCAAGUGAGCAGUGUGCACAGGAUGACAAGUGUCUGUAGGUGGCAGAGAAGCCUCCGUCCAACUCUGCUCCUGUAUUUCCAUUCAUGAUCCCUCCCUCCCUCCCUCCUCACACCCAGAGAAUCUGUCCUAGGGACCAGGAGAGCUGUGUACCUUGAACCAGCAACUAUUGGCUAUAAAAUAGUAUCUAACUCCA
Cavia porcellus (domestic guinea pig) is the source of this 2862-nucleotide long non-coding RNA. RefSeq lists it as uncharacterized. The transcript is spliced from 2 exons. NCBI's taxonomy places the organism in Eukaryota, Metazoa, Chordata, Mammalia, Rodentia, Caviidae. The record is from RefSeq and is a predicted model, not a curated record.